GUGAUAGAAUGUUAUUGUGAUAGAAUGUUAGUGAGAUAGAAUGUUAGUGUGAUAGAAUGUUAGUGUGAUAAAAUGUUAGUGUGAUAGAAUGUUAGUGUGAUAGAAUGUUAGUGUGAUAGAAUGUUAGUGUGAUAAAAUGUUAGUGCGAUAGAUUGUUAGUGUGAUAGAAUGUUAGUGUGAUAAAAUGUUAGUGUGAUAGAAUGUUAUUGUGAUAGAAUGUUAGUAUGAUAGAAUGUUAGUGGGAUUGAAUGUUAGUGGGAUAGAUUGUUAGUGUGAUAGAAUGUUAUUGUGAUAGAAUGUUAGUUGUAAUAGAAUCUUAGUGUGAUAGAAUGUGAUAGAAUGUUAGUGUAAUAGAAUCUUAGUGUGAUAGAAUGUGAUAGAAUGUUAGUGUGAUAGAAUCUUAGUGUGAUAGAAUGUGAUAGAAUGUUAGAGUGAUAGAAUGUUAGUGGGUUAGAAUGUUAGUGGGUUAGAAUGUUAGUGGGAUAGAAUGUGAUAGAAUGUUAGAGUGAUAGAAUGUUAGUGGGUUAGAAUGUUAGUGGGAUAGAAUGUGAUAGAAUGUUAGUGUGAUAGAAUGUUAGUGUGAUAGAAUGUUAUUGUGAUAGAAUGUUAGUGUGAUAGAAUAUUAGUGUGAUAGAUUGUUAGUGUGAUAGAAUGUUAGUGGGA
Long non-coding RNA from Sebastes umbrosus (honeycomb rockfish), 663 nucleotides. RefSeq lists it as uncharacterized. The transcript has 2 exons. Lineage: Eukaryota; Metazoa; Chordata; Actinopteri; Perciformes; Sebastidae. The record is from RefSeq and is a predicted model, not a curated record.